UCAAAGGAGACUGCCAGUGAUAAACUGGAGGAAGGUGGGGAUGACGUCAAGUCAUCAUGGCCCUUACGACCAGGGCUACACACGUGCUACAAUGGCGCAUACAAAGAGAAGCGACCUCGCGAGAGCAAGCGGACCUCAUAAAGUGCGUCGUAGUCCGGAUUGGAGUCUGCAACUCGACUCCAUGAAGUCGGAAUCGCUAGUAAUCGUGGAUCAGAAUGCCACGGUGAAUACGUUCCCGGGCCUU
RNAcentral lists this ribosomal RNA (244 nucleotides) under uncultured Enterobacteriaceae bacterium. Its description in RNAcentral is "partial 16S ribosomal RNA". It matches the Rfam family "Bacterial small subunit ribosomal RNA", at positions 1139 to 1382 of the family's 1533-position model. Lineage: Bacteria; Pseudomonadati; Pseudomonadota; Gammaproteobacteria; Enterobacterales; Enterobacteriaceae. The record is from RNAcentral.